This is an RNA transcript of Haliaeetus leucocephalus (bald eagle), 2453 nucleotides long. It is a transcript of the gene named ADP-ribosylation factor interacting protein 2, with no coding region annotated. Lineage: Eukaryota; Metazoa; Chordata; Aves; Accipitriformes; Accipitridae. The record is from RefSeq and is a predicted model, not a curated record. The transcript is spliced from 8 exons.
GGAGCUCAGCCCAGGCCUUGGCCCCAUGGGCUCCUGGCCUGGGAAGCCUGGGAUUUCCCUGGCUGGGUGAAGCCCCGGGACCCCAGCCGCACGGGGAUGGUGUCUGUCUCUGCCUGGUCCCCAGGCUCCAGUAGAGCGUCUGUGUCCUUGCAGGCCCUGAGGAUGUCAGACGGGAUCAUGAGCAAGGCCGCCACCAUGGAGAUCCCCAUCAGCAGCAACGGGGACACGGGCAGCCUGCCAGAGGAUGACGGCUUGGAGCAGCUGCCUGUGCUCCUCCCUCCGCUCCAGGACCUGCAGCAGGUGAUGGUAUCGGGGCCCAACCUCAAUGAAACCAGCAUCGUCUCUGGCGGCUACGGGGGUACGGCUGAAGGCAUCAUCCCCACCAGCACCAUCAAAGGCUGGUCCUGGGGUUGCGGGUGCUCCUGGUGGCAAGGCCCAGCUGCGAGCGUCCUGCCUGCCAGGCAGCGGUGUGAGCAAGAGUGCCACAGCCCCAGGGCCCUGCUGCUACCCACACCCCCCAGGGAGGUCUGCCCAGGCAUGGGGCAGCGGUGGCCCAGUGGGUCCACGGUGAGCGUUGGUGGUACUGGGCUGGGCCAGGCCAAGUUGGCACUGCCGAGGCAGCUCUGGCGCAGCUGUGUCUCUCGCCCUCUGUCCCUCAUGGUCCUAUUUCACACGAGUCUCUGUCCCCUGACUUGCCCCAGUGGGCUCUGCCGCAGCGGACAGCUGCUCCGUGCUGUGCUAGGCUUGAGUGAGUGGAUUUGCACAGGCAGAGAGGACGUGUGCGUUUGCUCGCAGCCUGCUGUGCCGAAGAGCAGCACAAGCGGGUGGCAGAAGAAGAUGUGUGCUGUGGUUGCUGUUACUCUUUGUCUGUCACGCUGGGCCUGUCCAGCUCUCGGCUCACGGGGCACGGUGACCCCAGUUGAUGGGACAGAAGGAGUGGGGAGGGAGCACCUGGUGCGGGAGGUAUCCGUCUGUCAGCCAGCUGUGUCUUGUGAUUUCACGUCGCACUCAUCUGCUCCCCUUGCUCUCCCCUGCUGCCAUCCCGCCUGCACACUCAUCCUCUGUCCUGGCUGUUCCUGCCCCCGUGCCCGACACACCGCCCCAUCUCUUCUUGCCCCUCUCUGCUCAACACCUGCCAGCCCCUCCAUUUCCAGGCUGUCUUGUCCAACCUCACCCACCCCGAGGACCAUCUGUCUCCCCCAGUGCAUCUGCCGCCAGCAGGAUGGCCAACCAGGCUGGUGCUUCAGCAGGCUCUGGGCUGCACCAGCCCCACCCCAGCCCAGCCGUCGGAGGAGAGGAAGUUGUCCGUGGCAUCGCCGUGGAGAAGUUUGACAUUGUCAAGAAAUGGGGUAUCAACACGUACAAGUGUACCAAGCAGCUGAUCUCGGAGCGGUUUGGCCGGGGCUCCCGCACAGUGGACCUCGAGCUGGAGACACAGAUUGAGCUGCUCCGGGAGACAAAGCGCAAGUACGAGUGUGUGCUGCAGCUCGCACGGGCUCUCACCAACCACUUCUACAGCCUGGUGCAAACACAGCAUGCCCUGGGGGAUGCCUUUGCGGACCUCAGCCAGAAGUCUCCUGAGCUGCAGGAGGAGUUUGGUUACAAUGCAGAAACACAGAAACUACUCUGCAAGAAUGGAGAAACACUACUGGGGGCUGUCAACUUCUUUGUCUCCAGCAUCAACACGCUGGUGAACAAGACCAUGGAGGACACACUCAUGACGGUCAAACAGUACGAGACAGCCAGGCUGGAGUACGAUGCAUACCGCACAGACCUGGAGGAGCUGAGCAUGGGCCCUCGGGAUGCUAGCACCCUGUGCCGGCUGGACGCAGCCCAGAGCCAGUUCCAGAGCCACAAGGACAAGUAUGAAAAGCUGCGUGCUGAUGUGGCCAUCAAGCUCAAGUUCUUGGAGGAGAACAAGAUCAAGGUGAUGCACAAGCAGCUACUGCUCUUCCACAACGCCAUCUCUGCCUACUUCGCUGGGAACCAGCAGCAGUUGGAGCAGACCCUCAAGCAGUUCAACAUCAAGCUGAAGACCCCCGGUGCUGAGAAGCCCUCCUGGCUGGAGGAGCAGUGAGCCGCCCCCUCUGCCCCCCGCGUGCUCUGGCUGGGGGCACUAUGGACCUGAAUUCCAACCUCUGCCCGCUGGCGCGGGGCUGGGCCGCGUGCUCACAGAGUGAGCAGGGGACGCGGCCUGGGCCCUGCUGCAGCUGGGCUUUGCCCACUGGGCAUGAGGGGGCCUGGUUUGGGGGGGGAGUGGGAGGCUUCAAGCGGGGCCCUGGUCCUGCCUGGGGAGAGGAGCCCGGAGAGGCUGGGGCUCCCCCGUCCCGUGUCUCCCCCUUGGGGCAGAGCCCAGCCCUGCCCAGCUCAUCCAUGCUCCCUUAGCAUGGACCCCCGGCACGACAGCCGGGAGCCCUCCCUGCUUCCUGGCACCCUGGGGGGGGCAGCAGACC